GGGUAGUUUGACUGGGGCGGUCUCCUCCUAAAGAGUAACGGAGGAGCACGAAGGUUGGCUAAUCCUGGUCGGACAUCAGGAGGUUAGUGCAAUGGCAUAAGCCAGCUUGACUGCGAGCGUGACGGCGCGAGCAGGUGCGAAAGCAGGUCAUAGUGAUCCGGUGGUUCUGAAUGGAAGGGCCAUCGCUCAACGGAUAAAAGGUACUCCGGGGAUAACAGGCUGAUACCGCCCAAGAGUUCAUAUCGACGGCGGUGUUUGGCACCUCGAUGUCGGCUCAUCACAUCCUGGGGCUGAAGUAGGUCCCAAGGGUAUGGCUGUUCGCCAUUUAAAGUGGUACGCGAGCUGGGUUUAGAACGUCGUGAGACAGUUCGGUCCCUAUCUGCCGUGGGCGCUGGAGAACUGAGGGGGGCUGCUCCUAGUACGAGAGGACCGGAGUGGACGCAUCACUGGUGUUCGGGUUGUCAUGCCAAUGGCACUGCCCGGUAGCUAAAUGCGGAAGAGAUAAGUGCUGAAAGCAUCUAAGCACGAAACUUGCCCCGAGAUGAGUUCUCCCUGAGACUUUAAGUCUCCUGAAGGAACGUUGAAGACGACGACGUUGAUAGGCCGGGUGUGUAAGCGCAGCGAUGCGUUGAGCUAACCGGUACUAAUGAACCGUGAGG
RNAcentral lists this ribosomal RNA (659 nucleotides) under Escherichia coli. RNAcentral describes it as "bacterial LSU rRNA". It matches the Rfam family "Bacterial large subunit ribosomal RNA", at positions 2263 to 2916 of the family's 2925-position model. RNAcentral also lists the same sequence under 1 other name. Lineage: Bacteria; Pseudomonadati; Pseudomonadota; Gammaproteobacteria; Enterobacterales; Enterobacteriaceae. The record is from RNAcentral.